Molecule: ribosomal RNA, 754 nt
Filed under: uncultured bacterium
Lineage: Bacteria
Description: bacterial SSU rRNA
Rfam family: Bacterial small subunit ribosomal RNA
Source: RNAcentral
AGAGUUUGAUCAUGGCUCAGAUUGAACGCUGGCGGCAUGGCUAAAACAUGCAAGUCGAGCGCGAAAGAGGGGCAACCCUCAAGUAGAGCGGCGAAAGGGUGAGUAAUGCGUUCCUACGUGCCUCAAGGUCGGGGAUAGCCAGGGGAAACUCUGGGUAAUACCCGAUGUGGUCGCAAGAUCAAAGGCUUGCCGCCUUGAGAGCGGGGAACGUCCUAUCAGGUAGUUGGUGAGGUAACGGCUCACCAAGCCUUCGACGGGUAGCGGGUGUGAGAGCAUGGCCCGCCACAUCGAAACUGAGACACUGUUCGGACUCCUACGGGAGGCUGCAGUAACGAAUCUUCCGCAAUGCGCGAAAGCGUGACGGAGCAAUGCCGCGUGCAGGAUGAAGCCCUUCGGGGUGUAAACUGCUGUCAGGGUUUAGGAAGCACGUGACCAAACCCAAAGGAAGAGACGACUAACUCUGUGCCAGCAGUCGCGGUAAUACAGAGGUCUCGAGCGUUAGUCGGAGUCACUGGGCUUAAAGCGUACGUAGGCGGAUCUGCAGGCGUCAUGUGAAAUCCCUCAGCUCAACUGAGGAACUGCACGGCGAACCGCAGGUCUUGAGACAAGUAGGGGCGGUCGGAACGAUAGGUGGAGUGGUGAAAUGCGUUGAUAUCUAUCGGAAUGCCGAAGGUGAAAACAGGCCGCUGGGCUUGGUCUGACGCUGAGGUACGAAAGCGUGGGGAGCGAACGGGAUUAGAUACCCUAGUAGUCC